AAAAACAUGUCUUUUUGAAAAUAAUAAAAAGUCUAAUCUGCCCACUGAAUUUAUUUAAAGGGCUGCAGUAUAUUGACUGUACAAAGGUAGCAUAAUCAAUAGUCUUUUAAUUGAAGACUUGUAUGAAUGAUUUGAUGAAAUAUAAACUGUCUCUUUAUUAAAAAUAAAAUUUAAUUUUUUAGUUAAAAAGCUAAAAUAAUUAUAAAAGACGAGAAGACCCUGUAGAGUUUUAUAUUUAUUUUAUUUAAUAAUUAUUUAUAUAUUUUAAAUAUACAAUAAUUUAAGUAUUUUAUUGGGGUGAUAGAAAAAUUAGAUAAACUUUUUUUAAAAUUUAACAUUAAUUUAUGAAAUUAUGAUCCAUAAUUUAUGAUUAAAAGAAAAAAUUACCUUAGGGAUAACAGCGUAAUUUUUUUUUUUAGUUCAAAUAAAAAAAAGAGUUUGCGACCUCGAUGUUGGAUUAAGAUAAAAUUUAAAUGCAAAAGUUUAAAAUUUUUGAUCUGUUCGAUCAUUAAAAUCUUACAUGAUCUG
This 528-nucleotide ribosomal RNA is filed under the name Eurema aff. laeta B SSG-2014. Its description in RNAcentral is "partial 16S ribosomal RNA". The stretch from base 394 to 528 matches the Rfam family "Bacterial large subunit ribosomal RNA", at positions 2473 to 2607 of the family's 2925-position model. The record is from RNAcentral. Lineage: Eukaryota; Metazoa; Arthropoda; Insecta; Lepidoptera; Pieridae.